AGUGAACGUUGGCGGCGUGGAUUAGGCAUGCAAGUCGAGCGAUCGUAGCAAUACGGGAGCGGCAAACGGGGUAGGAAUACAUCGGAACGUACCCUUUGGUUGAGGAUAGCGUUGGGAAACUGACGGUAAUACUCAAUAAAGUCGAGAGACCAAGGGUUUACUGCCGGAGGAGCGGCCGAUGCGAUAUUAGGUAGUUGGUGGGGUAAUGGCCUACCAAGCCUGAGAUGUCUAGGGGGUGUGAGAGCAUGGCCCCCACCACUGGGACGUGAGAAACUGCCCAGACACCUACGGGUGGCUGCAGUCGAGGAUCUUCGGCAAUGGGCGCAAGCCUGACCGAGCGACGCCGCGUGUGGGAUGAAGGCCCUUGGUUGGUAACCAACUGUCAGGGGGACGGAAAUGCGCGCGGGUACGUCCCGUGCGUUUGACAGAGCCCCACGAGGAAGCACGGGCUAAGUUCGUGCCAGCAGCCGCGGUAAAGU
Molecule: ribosomal RNA, 479 nt
Filed under: uncultured bacterium
Lineage: Bacteria
Description: bacterial SSU rRNA
Rfam family: Bacterial small subunit ribosomal RNA
Source: RNAcentral